This 293-nucleotide ribosomal RNA is filed under the name uncultured bacterium. Its description in RNAcentral is "partial 16S ribosomal RNA". It matches the Rfam family "Bacterial small subunit ribosomal RNA", at positions 333 to 622 of the family's 1533-position model. The record is from RNAcentral.
UGCUGCCUACGGGACGCAGCAGUGAGGAAUAUUGGUCAAUGGGCGGGAGCCUGAACCAGCCAAGUCGCGUGAGGGAAGACGGUCCUAUGGACUGUAAACCUCUUUAGGCGGGGAGCAAUGCCGGGCACGCGUGUCCGGAGGGAGAGUACCCGCAGAAUAAGCAUCGGCUAACUACGUGCCAGCAGCCGCGGUAAUACGUAGGUGGCGAGCGUUAUCCGGAAUGAUUGGGCGUAAAGGGUGCGUAGGCGGCCUGCUAGGUCUGGAGUGAAAGGUACCGGCUCAACCGGUACAGG